CCUCGUACUUCGGGAUAAGCCUGGGAAACUGGGUCUAAUACUGGAUAGGACCAUGCUUUAGUGUGUGUGGUGGAAAGUUUUUUCGGUACGAGAUGAGCCCGCGGCCUAUCAGCUUGUUGGUGGGGUAAUGGCCUACCAAGGCGUCGACGGGUAGCCGGCCUGAGAGGGUGGACGGCCACAUUGGGACUGAGAUACGGCCCAGACUCCUACGGGAGGCAGCAGUGGGGAAUAUUGCACAAUGGGCGCAAGCCUGAUGCAGCGACGCCGCGUGGGGGAUGACGGCCUUCGGGUUGUAAACCUCUUUCGCUAGGGACGAAGCUUUUGUGACGGUACCUAGAUAAGAAGCACCGGCUAACUACGUGCCAGCAGCCGCGGUAAUACGUAGGGUGCGAGCGUUGUCCGGAAUUACUGGGCGUAAAGAGCUCGUAGGUGGUUUGUCGCGUCGUCUGUGAAAUUCCGGGGCUUAACUUCGGGCGUGCAGGCGAUACGGGCAUAACUUGAGUGCUGUAGGGGAGACUGGAAUUCCUGGUGUAGCGGUGGAAUGCGCAGAUAUCAGGAGGAACACCGAUGGCGAAGGCAGGUCUCUGGGCAGUAACUGACGCUGAGGAGCGAAAGCAUGGGGAGCGAACAGGAUUAGAUACCCUGGUAGUCCAUGCCGUAAACGGUGGGCGCUAGGUGUGAGGGUCUUCCACGACUUUCGUGCCGUAGCUAACGCAUUAAGCGCCCCGCCUGGGGAGUACGGCCGCAAGGCUAAAACUCAAAGGAAUUGACGGGGGCCCGCACAAGCGGCGGAGCAUGUGGAUUAAUUCGAUGCAACGCGAAGAACCUUACCUGGGCUUGACAU
RNAcentral lists this ribosomal RNA (844 nucleotides) under Corynebacterium diphtheriae. RNAcentral describes it as "bacterial SSU rRNA". It matches the Rfam family "Bacterial small subunit ribosomal RNA", at positions 129 to 987 of the family's 1533-position model. The record is from RNAcentral. Lineage: Bacteria; Bacillati; Actinomycetota; Actinomycetes; Mycobacteriales; Corynebacteriaceae.